CCUACGGGAGGCAGCAGUGAGGAAUAUUGGUCAAUGGGCGCGAGCCUGAACCAGCCAAGUCGCGUGAGGGAAGACGGCCCUACGGGUUGUAAACCUCUUUUGCCGGGGAGCAAAGGGCGCCACGUGUGGCGCCACUGAGAGUCCCCGGAGAAAAAGCAUCGGCUAACUCCGUGCCAGCAGCCGCGGUAAUACGGAGGAUGCGAGCGUUAUCCGGAUUUAUGGGGUUUAAAGGGUGCGUAGGCGGAGCGUUAAGUCAGUGGUCAAGUUGAGGGCCUCAACCCCGUACCGCCAUUGAAACUGGCGCUCUUGAGUGGAAGAGAAGUAGGCGGAAUGCGUGGUGUAGCGGUGAAAUGCAUAGAUAUCACGCAGAACCCCGAUGGCGAAGGCAGCAUGCCGGCUUCCUACUGACGCUGAAGCACGAAAGCGUGGGGAGCGAACAGGAUUAGAUACCCUUGUAGUC
Molecule: ribosomal RNA, 460 nt
Filed under: uncultured bacterium
Lineage: Bacteria
Description: partial 16S ribosomal RNA
Rfam family: Bacterial small subunit ribosomal RNA
Source: RNAcentral